This 75-nucleotide antisense RNA is filed under the name Paractinoplanes brasiliensis. RNAcentral describes it as "Actinoplanes brasiliensis ASpks TB sRNA". It matches the Rfam family "ASpks TB sRNA". Lineage: Bacteria; Bacillati; Actinomycetota; Actinomycetes; Micromonosporales; Micromonosporaceae. The record is from RNAcentral.
CUUCACCGAGCCCAGCCACAACGGCUUGUCCUCCGGCCGGUCCUGGCCGUACGUCGCCAGCAAUGCCUGCGCCUC